RNAcentral lists this unclassified non-coding RNA (200 nucleotides) under Hypocreales sp. RNAcentral's name for it is "partial internal transcribed spacer 2". The record is from RNAcentral. Lineage: Eukaryota; Fungi; Ascomycota; Sordariomycetes; Hypocreales.
UUAAGUUCAGCGGGUAUUCCUACCUGAUCCGAGGUCAACCUUGUUAUAGUGGGGGUUUUACGGCGGGUCGCCGCCCGGGCCCGGUGCGAGGUUGAGUUACUACGCAAGGGAGCCGCGGCGGGACCGCCAAUGGAUUUGGGCGGUUGCAGCGCUGGACGCAAGCAAUCCGCCAACGCUAAGCUGGGCUUAAGGGUUUAAAU